CGCGGUCGCAGCGGCCCCACGGGGCGCAGGUGGCCUUCGAGGUGUGCGUGCGGCCGGGCUCCUUCCGCCCGGGGCCGCCCUCGCUGCGGCCCCCCGAGGGCCUCGACCCCCGCCUGAGCCCCGCCGAGCUCGAGUGGGUCACCAAGGAGCCCGGCGCCACCGUCCUCUGCGGCCUGCUGGUCCGCGUCGAGUGACCGGCCGCCUCCCCGAGGCCACCGGGGACCUCCUGUGGCCACCGAGGACCCGUCCGUGGCCGUCGAGCACCUCCUGUGGCCACCCAGGACCUCCCGUGGCUACCGGGGACCUCCUGUGGCCACCAGGCACUUCCCGUGGCCACCAAGGACCUCCUGUGGCCACCGAGGACCCAUCCGUGGCCAUUGAGCACCUCCUGUGGCCACCAAGGACCUCCCUUGGCUACCAGGGACCUCCUGUGGCCACCCAGGACCUCCCCUGGCUACUGGGGACUUCCUGAGGCUACCAGGGACCUCCUGUGGCCACCGAGGACCCAUCUUUGGCUACUGGGCACCUCCUGCGGCCACCCAGGAUCUCCCAUGGUUACCGGGGACCUCCCGAGGCCACCAGGGACCUCCUGUGGCCACCAAGGACUUAUCUGUGGCCACUGGGCGACUCCUGCGGCCACCAAGGACCUCCCAUGGCUACCGGGGACCUCCUGUGGCCACCGAGGAGCCAUCCGUGGCUACCAAGGACCCCCUGCAGACCUCGGGGACCUCCAGUGGCUUCCGGGGACCUCCUGUGGCCACCAAGGAUCUCCCACGGCUACCAGGGACCCCCCCACGAACCGCCAAGACCUCCUGUGGCUACCGGGGGCCCAUCUGUGGCCACCAAGCACCUCCCGUGGCCACCAAGGAUCUCCCGUGGCCACCGGGGACCUCCCGUGGCUACCGGGGACCCGUCUAGGGGACCCCACGGCUACCAGGGAGCCCCCGUGGCCACUGGGGACCUCCCGUGGUUACCGGAGAUGCCCUUGUGGCUAGUGGGGAGGCCUCUGUGGCUACCAGGGAGCCCCAGGGACAGCGGGGACCCCCCCCGGCUACUGGGACCCCCCCCAGGGACUCCUCUGGCUCCUGGGGCUACCACAGACCCCUGGGGGCUACCGGGCAGCUUUGCCCCCCCCGAAAAAACUUGCCCCCCCCCCAAAUCGCUGGUAAUGGGGGGGAAGGACUUUGCACACAGACCCCCCCAAAUCAGGGCCCCCCC
Molecule: long non-coding RNA, 1218 nt
Filed under: Apteryx haastii (Great spotted kiwi)
Lineage: Eukaryota; Metazoa; Chordata; Aves; Apterygiformes; Apterygidae
Description: lncRNA (ENSAHAG00000014708.1)
Source: RNAcentral